This is a long non-coding RNA of Cylas formicarius (sweet potato weevil), 1883 nucleotides long. RefSeq lists it as uncharacterized. The transcript has 5 exons. Lineage: Eukaryota; Metazoa; Arthropoda; Insecta; Coleoptera; Brentidae. The record is from RefSeq and is a predicted model, not a curated record.
CCUCUGACGCCAUAAAAUUUUAAUUUGUUUAAGAGCACAUCGUGAUCGACGCAGUCAAACGCUUUCGUAAGGUCGUACAGAAGUGCCUUUGAUACGUCGCCAGCAUCGAAACCCCGCACCACACUGUUCACAAAGUGCAUAAGUGCAUGGGUCGUGGAUUUCCCCUCACGAAAGCCAAACUGCGAUUCACACAGAAGUUUAUUUUCCUCAAAAAACAGUGACAGGCGAGCCUUCAGGGCUUUCUCAAUGACUUUACCGAAUAUAGGGGUAAUUGCAAUGGGCCUAAAGUUAUUUGGUAUCCGAAGGAAAUACGCCACUCGAAAACACUGCGUUCGUUAUGGCUGCCAGGGGACCCACGAUGUACUCAAUGGUGUGUUUCAAUAUUUUUGAAUUUAAGCCGAAGCAAUCGGUAGAACUUGAGUUGUUUAGACCCAUAAUAAUGCCAUACAUCUCACUCUCAGAGACCGGGCUUAAGAAGAAAGAUUUACACGGAGAGGGUGUUUUCGUAAGGUACACAUAUGGGUCACUGGAUUUCCCAAUGGAUGAUACUAGGUCAUUUACUACAUUGGAGAAUUAGCAUUAGCCAGUCUAUACUCAGCCCAACUGUCGCGUGGGGAAAAUAUUCGACACUUGGCUUUUAAAAGCAUCACGUGAUCCCUCAUAAGUUUGAGGUCACGAUUGAACCAGACCACGGGGGGACGGAAGGAAUUACUGCGCUUUACGACUUUAAAGUGAUUCUGGAUAUUGGCGGUGAAGAUAUGAAGCAGUUCUUUUGUUGAGUUGGUCGGAUCGGCGUUAGUAUUAAUAAAAGGUUCCCAAUCGGUGCUCUCAAAACUUGUGCAGAGGUUAUUCAGACCCGCCUGGGUAAUUGGUCUGAAUUGAAUAUGGUCAUCGUGCACAGAGGAAACAUCAAAGUGUAAUUCCAUAAAAACAGCGGAAUGAUCAGAGAGUGCUGGAUCCUCACUGCCCGCAGUGAACAGAGUGGGGGAUAUAUUGACAAGGAAAUUAUCAAUGCAACUUGACGUAGUUUCAGUUAUACGGGUAUGGUCAGCGACACUAGGGGAGAUUCCAAAGGUGGCAAAGUAGAGGUCAUUUAAAAGAAGUUCUAGCCUGGAUAUAAAUAGAUAAGGGUCGCCGUGGCUCCCCGAUCUAUAUACAUUGAUAACUACAGUAUUUUUGUGGGUUAAUUCAAUGCCGCAAAAUUCGGCAUGGAUGUCUAGUGAGUAUUUAUCUAAAUCUAAAGUUCUACAGUUGACUUUGUGUUUGCUAUAAAUUGAUACGCCCCCUCUGACCGCAGUCUGACGGCAUCGAAAGCUUUUCAAUAGAAAAUUAUUUACACAUAUUGAUUUUAAAAGUUCUUCAUCACAGACAAAGUGUUCAGAUAGACAGAGAAUAUCUACAUUUUUAUCCAGCAAAUAACCGUUGAAGUACCUUUAUUACUUGGGUUGCUGCCCCGAAGCACGCCGACCGAAAAAACGAUUCACGAGCACUCCAGUGGGCCAAAUGGAAGGAUUAAGAAUCUUCUCUGAGUCAGCGUCCAACACCGUGCACUUGAAAGAUGCAUAACUUUCAGGGAACAUGGAUCGAAUUUGCUCCACUUGAACCUCCGCAACCAUAGUCGUCGGAUGCAUCUUGGAGAUGUGGAACUGUGUCCUUCUGGUUGCUACCUGUAACUUACAGGACGCAGGGUCUUUAAGACUGCCCACUAUCGGCUGAGGUCUGGAAGUGAGCUUGGGACGAGGUGGUCUCUCCACUUUUGUUUGGGGUGGACGGAGAUCACUGGCAGGACCGGAACCAGGAACAAGGUUGUCGCUGGAGGUCAAGCUGAUGAUCUCGCUGCACUUAUUCCGCACUGUAGCCUCGUGUAGAGCACCACCAACAGU